Molecule: long non-coding RNA, 509 nt
Filed under: Ananas comosus (pineapple)
Lineage: Eukaryota; Viridiplantae; Streptophyta; Magnoliopsida; Poales; Bromeliaceae
Description: long non-coding RNA (ACOM_LNC009802)
Source: RNAcentral
AUAAAUAAUAAAAAAUAAUAAAUAUAACUAAAUACAAAUAAUAAAUAAAUUAAUAAAGGGGGUUCGUGUGAGACCCUGCUAACGUGCGCCGUAGGUAGGUGCGCAAGUUAACGGGUCUCCAUGCGUUGCGCACGUUAAGAACAUCGCACGGGAGCUUUCUAUCGUGCGCCGGGGAAAGGGGAAGAGGACGAGGGCGAGGGUUUGGGGAUGUUGCUGUUACCUUCUCUUCGAACAGUGGCAUCGUCCGCCAUUAACGCCGUACUUCCCAGCCACGUCCUCGGCGUGUGCGUGGCCGUGGCCGUGGCCGUGGCCGUGGCACCUCUUCUUGAUAAGUGGCGACGACGACAUGAGCGGCGGCUUCCCGGCGGCGGCGGCGGAGGCGGAGGCCGUGGCCGUGGCCGUGGCACCUCUUCUUGAUAAGUGGCGACGACGACAUGAGCGGCGGCUUCCCGGCGGCGGCGGCGGAGGCGGAGGAAGGAGGGGCGAAGAGGAGAGACGACGACGACGCC